CGUAACCGGCCUGAGAGGGCGGUCGGUCACACUGACACUGACAUACGGGUCAGACUCCUACGGGAGGCAGCAGUCGGGAAUUUUGGGCAAUGGGCGAAAGCCUGACCCAGCAACGCCGCGUGAAGGAUGAAAUCCCUCGGGAUGUAAACUUCGCAAGAACGGGAAGAAUAAGUAGGGGACAAUACCCCCUAUGAUGACGGUACCGUUUGUAAGCUCCGGCUAACUCCGUGCCAGCAGCCGCGGUAAUACGGGGGGAGCAAGCGUUGUUCGGAUUUACUGGGCGUAAAGGGCGCGUAGGCGGCCAGCACAAGUCAGUUGUGAAAUCUCCGAGCUUAACUCGGAAAGGUCAACUGAUACUGUGCGGCUAGAGUGCGGAAGGGGCAACUGGAAUUCUUGGUGUAGCGGUGAAAUGCGUAGAUAUCAAGAGGAACACCUGCGGCGAAGGCGGGUUGCUGGGCCGACACUGACGCUGAGGCGCGAAAGCUAGGGGAGCGAACGGGAUUAGAUACCCCGGUAGUCCUAGCCUUAAACGAUGAAUGCUUGGUGUCUGGGGUUAUAAAGUCCCCGGGUGCCGUCGCUAACGCUUUAAGCAUUCCGCCUGGGGAGUACGGUCGCAAGACUGAAACUCAAAGGAAUUGACGGAAUCGA
Molecule: ribosomal RNA, 648 nt
Filed under: uncultured bacterium
Lineage: Bacteria
Description: bacterial SSU rRNA
Rfam family: Bacterial small subunit ribosomal RNA
Source: RNAcentral